UGGUAAUGCCGGAUGCUCCGACUCCUCGCAUGGGGUGUCGGGAAAGAUUUCAUCGGUAUGGGAUGGGGUCGCGUCCUAUCAGGUAGUCGGCGGGGUAACGGCCCACCGAGCCUACGACGGGUAGCCGGCCUGAGAGGGCGACCGGCCACAUUGGGACUGAGAUACGGCCCAGACUCCUACGGGAGGCAGCAGUGGGGAAUAUUGCACAAUGGGCGCAAGCCUGAUGCAGCGACGCCGCGUGCGGGAUGACGGCCUUCGGGUUGUAAACCGCUUUUGAUCGGGAGCAAGCCUUCGGGUGAGUGUACCUUUCGAAUAAGCACCGGCUAACUACGUGCCAGCAGCCGCGGUAAUACGUAGGGUGCAAGCGUUAUCCGGAAUUAUUGGGCGUAAAGGGCUCGUAGGCGGUUCGUCGCGUCCGGUGUGAAAGUCCAUCGCUUAACGGUGGAUCUGCGCCGGGUACGGGCGGGCUGGAGUGCGGUAGGGGAGACUGGAAUUCCCGGUGUAACGGUGGAAUGUGUAGAUAUCGGGA
Molecule: ribosomal RNA, 529 nt
Filed under: Bifidobacterium pseudocatenulatum
Lineage: Bacteria; Bacillati; Actinomycetota; Actinomycetes; Bifidobacteriales; Bifidobacteriaceae
Description: bacterial SSU rRNA
Rfam family: Bacterial small subunit ribosomal RNA
Source: RNAcentral